This 304-nucleotide unclassified non-coding RNA is filed under the name Hevea brasiliensis (rubber tree). Lineage: Eukaryota; Viridiplantae; Streptophyta; Magnoliopsida; Malpighiales; Euphorbiaceae. The record is from RNAcentral.
AAGAAUUACUUUGUUUGUAUCAACUUUCCGCAGAGACUAACCACAUGCAAGCGUGGUAUGUGGAAAGAUUGUGAGUGUAAUCCUUGUGAUUUGAUAGUAACUGCCAAACAAACAUCUGCAAAACUGACUACAGCAACAAGGUAUGAAAAAUAAAGUUGGAAGAGAAGCUACUGCCAUGGUUGUGACAAUGAAACACUAGGUAUUGAAGCCUCCAGUCCUUGUUUGCCAUGUAUAGCAGAAUUUAGCACAUUAUACUGCUGGUGCUUUGGAGGACCCUGAGGCUAAGAUGGUAUAUACAAAGGCA